ACCUAUCCUGGGCCCAGACCUGGCCCAUAAAGAGUUGGUCCCUUGAGGCCCACAUAACCUAGACCUCAAGAACCAGAAAGGCCCACAGCCUUUCAACCUAGGGCCCAACUAGCCCUAGAGCCUCCAUGAAGCCCUCAUGAAUGAUGGACCUUGGCCUUAGUCUUGGUCCCCUGAGCCUUGGGUACACCACCUGGAUCAUAAUAGUUCGGACGGGCUUCGGUUCUCGCGAGAGGUCGAAAGGGGGCUGUUUAUUGUAGGAGCUCGGGCGAGGACCAGUUGUCAUGGAAGCUCGGAGUAGCGUCUCAUGUAGAAGUUCAUCUAGAGCCCACUCGCUACGGAGUAGCUUGGCUGGAGUCUACCUGCAACAGA
This 369-nucleotide long non-coding RNA is filed under the name Elaeis guineensis (African oil palm). RNAcentral's name for it is "long non-coding RNA (EGUI_LNC066152)". The record is from RNAcentral. Lineage: Eukaryota; Viridiplantae; Streptophyta; Magnoliopsida; Arecales; Arecaceae.